Molecule: ribosomal RNA, 599 nt
Filed under: uncultured bacterium
Lineage: Bacteria
Description: bacterial SSU rRNA
Rfam family: Bacterial small subunit ribosomal RNA
Source: RNAcentral
AGCCACACUGGAACUGAGACACAGCCCAGACUCCUACGGGAGGCAGCAGUGGGGAAUUUUGGACAAUGGGGGCAACCCUGAUCCAGCCAUUCCGCGUGUCUGAAGAAGGCCUUCGGGUUGUAAAGGACUUUUGUCCGGGAGCAAAGCCUGUUGUCGAAUAAACGACGGGGAUGAGAGUACCGGAAGAAUAAGCACCGGCUAACUACGUGCCAGCAGCCGCGGUAAUACGUAGGGUGCGAGCGUUAAUCGGAAUUACUGGGCGUAAAGCGUGCGCAGGCGGUAUUGCAAGUCUGAUGUGAAAGCCCCGGGCUUAACCUGGGAACGGCAUUGGAAACUGCAAAACUAGAGUACGUCAGAGGGGGGUAGAAUUCCACGUGUAGCAGUGAAAUGCGUAGAGAUGUGGAGGAAUACCGAUGGCGAAGGCAGCCCCCUGGGAUGAUACUGACGCUCAUGCACGAAAGCGUGGGGAGCAAACAGGAUUAGAUACCCUGGUAGUCCACGCCCUAAACGAUGUCAAUUAGCUGUUGGGGGUUUGAAUCCUUGGUAGCGAAGCUAACGCGUGAAAUUGACCGCCUGGGGAGUACGGCCGCAAGGUUAAA